UGGCGGACGGGUGAGUAACNCGUAAAGAACUUGCCCUUUAGACUGGGAUAACAGAGGGAAACUUCUGAUAAUACUGGAUAAGUUAGUAUAUCGCAUGAUAUGCAAAUGAAAGCUACGGCACUAAAGGAGAGCUUUGCGUCCUAUUAGCUAGUUGGUAAGGUAAGAGCUUACCAAGGCGAUGAUAGGUAGCCGGCCUGAGAGGGUGGACGGCCACAAGAGGACUGAGAUACGGCCCUUACUCCUACGGGAGGCAGCAGGG
RNAcentral lists this ribosomal RNA (259 nucleotides) under uncultured Leptotrichia sp. Its description in RNAcentral is "partial 16S ribosomal RNA". It matches the Rfam family "Bacterial small subunit ribosomal RNA", at positions 96 to 354 of the family's 1533-position model. The record is from RNAcentral. Lineage: Bacteria; Fusobacteriati; Fusobacteriota; Fusobacteriia; Fusobacteriales; Leptotrichiaceae.